GAUGAACGCUGGCGGCGUGCUUAACACAUGCAAGUCGAACGAAGAAGCCCAGCUUGCUGGGUGGAUUAGUGGCGAACGGGUGAGUAACACGUGAGUAACCUGCCCUUAACUCUGGGAUAAGCCUGGGAAACUGGGUCUAAUACCGGAUAGGAGCGCCUACCGCAUGGUGGGUGUUGGAAAGAUUUAUCGGUUUUGGAUGGACUCGCGGCCUAUCAGCUUGUUGGUGAGGUAAUGGCUCACCAAGGCGACGACGGGUAGCCGGCCUGAGAGGGUGACCGGCCACACUGGGACUGAGACACGGCCCAGACUCCUACGGGAGGCAGCAGUGGGGAAUAUUGCACAAUGGGCGAAAGCCUGAUGCAGCGACGCCGCGUGAGGGAUGACGGCCUUCGGGUUGUAAACCUCUUUCAGUAGGGAAGAAGCGAAAGUGACGGUACCUGCAGAAGAAGCACCGGCUAACUACGUG
Molecule: ribosomal RNA, 466 nt
Filed under: uncultured bacterium
Lineage: Bacteria
Description: partial 16S ribosomal RNA
Rfam family: Bacterial small subunit ribosomal RNA
Source: RNAcentral